This is a long non-coding RNA of Papaver somniferum (opium poppy), 3324 nucleotides long. RefSeq lists it as uncharacterized. The transcript has 4 exons. The record is from RefSeq and is a predicted model, not a curated record. Lineage: Eukaryota; Viridiplantae; Streptophyta; Magnoliopsida; Ranunculales; Papaveraceae.
GCACCUAACAAAGACUAUAGCCUCCACUGUAUUGUGAUCAUCAAACCCUAAACAGGCGGAUGAAAAUCAAGAUUUUGUUGCGGAAAUUCGGAAACAAAUUGAUCGAGGAGUAGUGGCUAUUAUGAUGAAUUUCUUGCUGAUUUGAAGGCUCAGGCAGUGGAAGAGUCAAAAAUCAGGAAGGAAUUAUCUAUUGAUUCGAUGAAAAUUAAGGACAUGCUUCAAAAAUGUAACUUCAAGGGUAAGCAUUCAGCAUCAAAAUACCAUUUUACAUUCAUUGAUACUGAAUCUGUUGAGAAGAAGAGGUUUGGGAGUUGGGGGAUUUGGCAUUGAAGGAAUUGAUUUCAUCAUCAUCACUAGUUAAAGAAGAAGAGGAAGAAAUAGUGGAAAUUGGGGCUAUGGAGGAGAAUUCAUUACCACCACUAGUUAAAGAAUCAGUUGUUGGUGGUGGUGGUGUUAAUGUGGGUUCUGGAAAGUCUUUGAUACUGGUGGGAAUGAUAUCUUUGCUACUGAGUCUGGGAUCAAGUGACAAUCUGGUCGGCCGAACCUCGGUGAUGGAGAAAUUACUUUUAUGUUGAGUUGUAUGCCUGGUCAUAUUUUAUCUAUCAUACACGGGAUGUAUGUAGUAAAGGAGUAUAACAUUGACAGGGCGUCUCGUCAGACGAGCUUUGAUCAGGGUGUCCCCUCUUGUCGGACUGUGGAACCCCUGUGCAAGAAAUGGAGUUGUUCAAAGUUAACCCUCUGUGGACGGUUUUCUAUUCGCAUUUCCUGUUUCUAUGUCCGGGCAGAACGACAUUUGUGACUCUGGAUUAUGAGGUUUUCGAGUUACGUUUUGAGUUCCACUGACAAGAAAGGGAGUUGUUCAAAGUUAACCCUCUGUGGACGGUUUUCUGUUCGGAUUUUUUGAAUUCGGAUGGCGCUUUCUUUGCUUCAAGUGAUGAUUGGAUUUCUCUUGCAGUCUCUAAUUGUGAACCUAAGCAGAAUAAGAGGAAGUCUUCAUUCAUUUUCAUCUGAUAUGGAGGCAGAUUUGUUUGUAUCGGGUAAUGAUUGGACUCCUCAAGUCCUUGAACCUAAACAUAAGAAGAGGAAGUUGUCAACCAAGGAUCCUACUUAUGACCCUAAUAGUGAACUACAAGGUGCCACUGUGGAUUCGGAGAAUGAGAUUGAUGCAUCAUCUUGUGCUGCAACUGUAUUGGUUCUUGCGUCGGAUAAAUGUUACAGAGAAGAAUGGGCCAGAGUCAUGAUAUGGACUGGUUCAAAUGGUUGGAAUUUAGAGUUUCCUGACAGAGAAGAUUGGUACAUUUUUAAGCACCGUAAGGAGUGUAUUCAUGGGAACUUGAAGGCUGUUUUGGCGAAGGCAGUCUAUGUUCCUUCUGUUUGGGAAGUACCAGCUUUGGCAAAGGCAAUCCCUGUACCUAUUUUUGGUGAAGUACAAGACUAUGUGAACUGUGAUUAUUGCCAUGUGUACAUAACCAUGGAAUAGAUAAGUUUGCAACUUAUGAUGCUGAUUCAGGUGAAGAAGAAUGGUUGGGAAAACUAACUGAUGGUCAUUGUGGAGAAAAUAGUGUCUCUUUGGAGAAGUUCGAGGAAAUUACUGAUGCGUUUGAGAAGACUGCCUUUUGUAACCCUGAUAACAAAAUCAAUCAGAGCUGGGCUAUCGUUCUUUGCUCAGGUACAGGGACGGACACGUGGUGGAUGUCUAUAAAUAUUGGCCGCAAAAACAGAAGCAGAAACGAUCUUCUCAGCUAAUAGUUUUCCAGGCUCGACCGCUAAAGAAGGUUCAGUCUACUCUCAACAAGCUCGUACUACUUAAAAAACGAUCAAUUACGAAGAAAAGCGAACAUCGUGAUAGAGGUGCACGCAAUUUUUUUUUCCAAGGUUGUCGGUCAGUCCAAAAAGAGAAAGAUUCAGUCUAAAAAGCGAAAUUUAAGUAUAGAAGAGCCUCGCCCCUGUGAGGAAGGCAAGGGAGGUGGUAAUUAUGAACCUGAACAUCUGCCUUGGUCAAAACUAUGAUGCCUGCCAUCCCCAUCCUUCCGACCCAGUACUUUGGGGAAAAACAGAAUCAGAAUGACAUACCAUACACCAGUGUGAAGGACUUAAGUGGCAAUGAUGUAUACAUAAGGAAUUUAUCAUCUUGUUCUGAAGAGCCCACUACGGGAGAAUCGCUUGAAGUGGGUGAGCUUGUUGAGGAACCUGCAGAUGCUACAGUGGGUACGUCCUGUUCAAAGUGCCGUACUCCUGAUUCAACCUUGUUAACUAUACCGACUUCUGUAGAUGGCAUUCCUUCCCUCACAGGGUCUACAAGUGCUUCAGCUCUAGAGAGAGUCGAGGGAUUUGAAUUUACUGACAUCUUCAAGAUCCCACAAGAGAACGAGAAUGACACCAUUGAAUGGCAAGGACAUACAUAUAGGGAAUUCAUCAUCUUGCUCUGAAGAGGAAACUACGGGAAUUGGACCAGUUGAAGUGUUUGAGCUUGUUAAGGAACCUAUGGACCCUACAAGGAAUGCAUCCUCUUCUAACUGCCUGAUUCCCACCUUGUUAACUGUAUCCACUUUUGUAGUUGUCACUCCUUCCCUGAUAAGGGUGUACAAGCGUUUCCGCUCGAGAGAGUGUGGAAGGCUCUGAAUUCCUGGGCAACUUCAAGAUUCUAGAAGAGUAUAUAACUUUGUACAAGAAGAUCUAUGAUAAGUACGGGCAUAUGGCAACUAAAGAAGACAUCCAGAGUUCAAUGAUGCUAUGUUAUUCACAUGUGUCACCAGUUUAUUGAAGAUCAUCUCGGAUAUGGAAACUGUGCGAGGUGCUGAACUGAGUGUAGCAUUGCUGGAGAGAUGGGAAGGGUUCAUCAGAGAUGCUGAGACUUUGGAAUUUUAUAGUAAGUGGCUUCGUGAAGGAUUUAGUCGACUUAAGAACCAUUGGAAAUCUUCAUUCAGGGAAGUAUAGAUAUUGAAAGUCGUGAACAACUGAACAAGUAUUGAAUGCAAUGCAGGGCCUCCUGACAAAAAAGAGGAACUUGAAACUGAACUUUCAGAGGUAAAAUAUUCAUGAUAGGGAAAGCUGAAGCGACGAUUUUAUCUGAGCAAGAAGCUAUUCAAGAAAAGCAGACUCAGAAAAUCAAAUUUCAGCAUGAACCUGAUCUAGAUAUAGUGCUUCAUGAGGUAGAAAAUCAAACUUUUCUCGAUGUGAGUUAUAAAAUCCAGAAGCAAUUUAAGUGGGCCUGAGAAAUUUGGCCUCAGUACGCCAGAUAUUGUGAAAAGAAUGAUUUUUUGGGCACUACUCAAAAAUGGUGGGGACUACUAAGUGAUAAAAAUAUCUAUCCUAUAGUUAUAA